This 498-nucleotide ribosomal RNA is filed under the name uncultured bacterium. Its description in RNAcentral is "bacterial SSU rRNA". It matches the Rfam family "Bacterial small subunit ribosomal RNA", at positions 15 to 507 of the family's 1533-position model. The record is from RNAcentral.
GAUCCUGGCUCAGAUUGAACGCUGGCGGCAUGCCUUACACAUGCAAGUCGAACGGCAGCACGGGAGCAAUCCUGGUGGCGAGUGGCGAACGGGUGAGUAAUAUAUCGGAACGUGCCCAGUCGUGGGGGAUAACGUAGCGAAAGCUACGCUAAUACCGCAUACGUCCUACGGGAGAAAGCGGGGGGAUCUUCGGACCUCGCGCCAUUAGAUGAGCCUAGGUCGGAUUAGCUAGUUGGUGGGGUAAAGGCUCACCAAGGCAACGAUCAGUAGCUGGUCUGAGAGGACGACCAGCCACACUGGAACUGAGACACGGUCCAGACUCCUACGGGAGGCAGCAGUGGGGAAUUUUGGACAAUGGGGGCAACCCUGAUCCAGCAAUGCCGCGUGAGUGAAGAAGGCCUUCGGGUUGUAAAGCUCUUUUGUCAGGGAAGAAACGACUCCUUCUAAUACAGGGGGUUAAUGACGGUACCUGAAGAAUAAGCACUGGCUAACUACGUG